RNAcentral lists this ribosomal RNA (169 nucleotides) under uncultured bacterium. Its description in RNAcentral is "partial 16S rRNA". It matches the Rfam family "Bacterial small subunit ribosomal RNA", at positions 350 to 511 of the family's 1533-position model. The record is from RNAcentral.
AGCAGUAGGGAAUCUUCCACAAUGGACGCAAGUCUGAUGGAGCAACGCCGCGUGAGUGAAGAAGGUCUUCGGAUCGUAAAACUCUGUUGUUAGAGAAGAACACGAGUGAGAGUAACUGUUCAUUCGAUGACGGUAUCUAACCAGCAAGUCACGGCUAACUACGUGCCAG